RNAcentral lists this ribosomal RNA (253 nucleotides) under uncultured bacterium. Its description in RNAcentral is "partial 16S ribosomal RNA". It matches the Rfam family "Bacterial small subunit ribosomal RNA", at positions 524 to 776 of the family's 1533-position model. The record is from RNAcentral.
UACGAAGGGGGCUAGCGUUGCUCGGAAUGACUGGGCGUAAAGGGCGCGUAGGCGGACUGCACAGUCAGGCGUGAAAUUCCUGGGCUUAACCUGGGGACUGCGUCUGAGACGUGUGAUCUAGAGUGAGGAAGAGGGUCGUGGAAUUUCCAGUGUAGAGGUGAAAUUCGUAGAGAUUGGAUAGAACACCGGUGGCGAAGGCGGCGACCUGGUCCUUGACUGACGCUGAGGCGCGAAAGCGUGUGGAGCAAACAGG